CGAACGCUGGCGGCGCGCCUAACACAUGCAAGUCGAACGAGCGAGAGAGAGCUUGCUUUCUCGAGCGAGUGGCGAACGGGUGAGUAACGCGUGAGGAACCUGCCUCAAAGAGGGGGACAACAGUUGGAAACGACUGCUAAUACCGCAUAAGCCCACGGCUCGGCAUCGAGCAGGGGGAAAAGGAGCAAUCCGCUUUGAGAUGGCCUCGCGUCCGAUUAGCUAGUUGGUGGGGUAACGGCCCACCAAGGCGACGAUCGGUAGCCGGACUGAGAGGUUGAACGGCCACAUUGGGACUGAGACACGGCCCAGACUCCUACGGGAGGCAGCAGUGGGGAAUAUUGCACAAUGGGGGAAACCCUGAUGCAGCGACGCCGCGUGGAGGAAGAAGGUCUUCGGAUUGUAAACUCCUGUUGUUGGGGAAGAUAAUGACGGUACCCAACAAGGAAGUGACGGCUAACUACGUG
RNAcentral lists this ribosomal RNA (464 nucleotides) under uncultured bacterium. RNAcentral describes it as "partial 16S ribosomal RNA". It matches the Rfam family "Bacterial small subunit ribosomal RNA", at positions 30 to 507 of the family's 1533-position model. The record is from RNAcentral.